This 5998-nucleotide long non-coding RNA is filed under the name Homo sapiens (human). RNAcentral's name for it is "non-protein coding lnc-RALGAPA1-1:2". The record is from RNAcentral. Lineage: Eukaryota; Metazoa; Chordata; Mammalia; Primates; Hominidae.
GCAGCCGCCUGGCGUGCGGAGAGCGGCCUGUCGCGCGCUGGGCGCGGGGACUCAGGGUCCCAGCAGUGGGUCGCGCACCUGAGCUAUCUCCAUCCUCGGAGACCGACGAGCUCUCAGUGUCCUCGUCCUCGGAGCUGCUCCCCUCAUUUUCGGCGUAGUCCACCUCCAUCUCAUCGUGAUGGUUGGUCUCCUUCUUAUCCCCUCGGGAAUGGACUGGCAUUUUCCAGCCGCGCCGUCGCUUUCCACUACCGGCGCCCAGCCCGGCCACCGCCGCUUCAAUGAAGGGCGCGCGGAACGCCCCAACCCACCCAGCCACCGAGCUUGCUCGCCCCCUUGGCUCCUCCCCGCCCCCGGCCCGGGCCUCACAACCUAACCCGCAGGCUCUGCGAUGGGAGCUCUGCCAUUGGCGGAGGCCUUCCACCGAGCCAGAGGGCGGGGGCUUGCCCUGCUCUGGUACGAUUGGUUGCCCGCAAUUACGACGCGGCCUUCCGAUGCUUGCCGGGAGUUGUAGUUCGUAGGUCUCAGACCUGCAGGGGCUGCACGCUUCCAUCCCUCGGCAGCCCUGAUCACUUCUUCCUUCUGGACUUCAAGUCCCACAAGGCACGAAAGCUGACACUCUGGAUCGCAGUUUAUAAACUAAACAGAAACAGAUUGUGCGAAUUUAGUCUGUAUUUAUCUAUUUCCCGCCAAGUGAUUGUUUGACCUGCCUGACCAUCAGAGAUGUUACUGUUAGAUGUGAAAAUGUCUUUUGCCUAAAAGGAUCUUUGCCUGCUCAUUGAGCCUGGGGAACUGGAGAACCAUCUGUUUUACUAAGCACCUUUAUUACCUACCAUUAAUAAACUGUUUUAUUUAAUUAUUAACUAUAGACGAUAACUUGCACUUUCUGUGUUGUGCAAAAAUCUUUAAAUUAUUCUUGAAACUUUUACAAUACAGAAGGUAAGGAAGUUUUAUCUUGGCAUUUUCAAUCUAAUAUUUUUGGCAUUUAUUUUUUACCAAAUGCAGUCGGAAAAUGCCAUCAGUCCUGAUUUAACUUUAGUUUUCAAUGAAAAAUACAUACUUAACCAGAUGUACUUUCUCAAAAAAAGGGUACAUAGCUCCCUCUCCCUCUCCCUCGCCCUCGCCCUCGCCCUCGCCCUCUCCACGGUCUCCCUCUCCCUCUCUUUCCACGGUCUCCCACUGAUGCCGAGCCGAAGCUGGACUGUACUGCUGCCAUCUCGGCUCACUGCAACCUCCCUGCCUGAUUCUCCUGCCUCAGCCUGCCGAGUGCCUGCGAUUGCAGGCGCGUGCCGCCACGCCUGACUGGUUUUCGUAUUUUUUUGGUGGAGACGGUUUCGCUGUGUUGGCCGGGCUGGUCUCCAGCUCCUAACCGCGAAUGAUCCGCCAGCCCCGACCUCCCGAGGUGCCGGGAUUGCAGACGGAGUCUCGUUCACUCAGUGCUCAAUGGUGCCCAGGCUGGAGUGCAGUGGCGUGAUCUCGGCUCGCUACAACCACCUCCCAGCCGCCUGCCUUGGCCUCCCAAAGAGCCGAGAUUGCAGCCUCUGCCCGGCCGCCACCCCGUCUGGGAAGUGAGGAGCGUCUCUGCCUGGCCGCCCAUCGUCUGGGAUGUGAGGAGCCCCUCUACCUGGCUGCCCAGUCUGGAAAGUGAGGAGCGUCUCUGCCCGGCCGCCAUCCCAUCUAGGAAGUGAGGAGCGUCUCUGCCUGGCAGCCCAUCGUCUGGGAUGUGGGGAGCACCUCUGCCCCGCCGCCCCGUCUGGGAUGUGAGGAGCGCCUCUGCCCAGCCGCGACCCCGUCUGGGAGGUGAGGAGCGUCUCUGCCCGGCCACCCCGUCUGAGAAGUGAGGAGACCCUCUGCCCGGCAACCGCCCCGUCUGAGAAGUGAGGAGCCCCUCCGCCCGGCAGCCGCCCCGUCUGAGAAGAACAUCUGGUGGAACCCCAUGAUGGCGGUCUUCAUCCGCCUUAAGCUGGCCCACAACCAUGCUGAUGAUGCAGCUAUGCGGCGUGAGCUGAUGGUCCUGCGCGGUGAUGCUGUGCUGGAUUUUCUGGAACCGAAGGCUAGACAACUUCUCCACAAUGGCAGCUUUCCCCUGGAACUGUUGUCCUUCCCACGUAAGGCAUGAUGCGUCAAUGUAAAUUGCGCCUAGUUGGGGUCUAUCGUUAUCAAAUAACUGGUAGUAAUGUGGAAUGAAGCUGGAUCCUAUCUGCUCCCAAAUUGGCUUGUCUCCCACUCUGGACCGUCAGCCGGCCUCGCGGAGACCCGAGGGGCUGGCACGAUGGCUGCAGCGGCGGCGGCAACCCAGCACGGUCUCAAAAUGCUCAUAUUUUUAAGUGGUCUCAUGCAUUACGUAUGCUACAACUUGACUUUCUCCUUAGUGACGUUUUUGAGAUUUACCCAUUGUGAUUCAGGUAGCUCUCAUCCAGUUAUUUUUACCUGCCAUAACAUGUUCCAUUUAGUAAAUAUAUUCUAUUGAAUGAAUAUUACAGUUUACCCAUUUACCUAUUAAUGGACAGGGAGGCUGCUCCCAAUUUUUUCACUAUUAAAAACAUUUGUCUCAGACCCAGCACAGUGGCUUACGCCUGUAGUGCCAGCACUUUGGCAGGCUGAGGCAGGCGGAUCGCUUGAGAUUGGGAGUUGGAGACCAGCCUGGGCAACAUGGCGAAACCCCGUCUCAACAAAAAAUACAAAAAUUAGCUGGGCGUGGUGGUGCGUGCCUGUAGUCCCAACUACUUGGGAGGUUGAGGUAGGAGGAUGGCUUGAGCCUGGGAGGUCCAGGCUUCAGUGAGCUGUGAUUGUGCCACUUCACUCCAGCCUGGGUGACAGACAGAGUAAGCCCCUGUCUUUAAAAAAAAAAAAAAAAAAGUUGCCUCCGUGAACAUUGCAUUUGUUUGUUUGUUUGUUUGUUUGUUUGCUUUUUUUUGGACAGAGUUUUCCUCUUGUUGCCCAGGCUAGAGUGCAAUGGCACCAUCUUGGCUCACUGCAACCUCCGACUCCCAGGUUUAAGCAAUUCUCCUGCCUCCGCCUCCGGAGUGGCUGGGAUUACAGGCGCCCCCCACCAUGCCCGGCUAAUUUUGUGGUUUUAGUAGAAAUAGGGUUUCACCAUGUUGGUCAGGCUGGUCUCGAACUCCUGAUCUCAGGUGAUCCGCCCACCUCAGCCUCCCAAAGUGCUGGGAUUACAGGGGUGAGCCACCGUGCCCAGCAUGAACAUUGUUGUAUGCACCUUUUCUUCAGGCAUAUGUGUGAGAAUUUCUCUAGGUCAGUGUCUCCAAAGUGGGAGGAGUGUAUUCGAGAACUGUAUCCUGGGGGGCAGGAAGGAAAUAUUAAAAUAUAAAUUUAUAAAAUUUUUAAUUUCAUCUUUGUUUGGAAUAAAGUAGGUAUAAGGAAGCAGUUAGAAUUCCAGGUUUUACUCUGAUUUACCCUCAUUAUAUUCCUUGUGUUUGUUUUUAAUCAGCAGAUCCAGCUUCUGAAAUAAAGCAAAUUUAAUUCCAGGCUCCACCACAUGGUGGGGCAGAGACAUCAGCUAUACAAUCCGUAAACUUUGUCUACUGAUUGACUCAGGCCAAAUGCUAGGAGUUGGAAAAACAAAGAUAGGACACCAGAGCUGCUACUAAUAGCUAGUAUCGAAUCAGGAUAAAUAUUCUCAUCAUUCGAACUAAAGGGGCUUUAGGACCUACACUGAGAACUAGAUGAGACCAACUUAUAAUUAUUCCAACUACGUGAAAAUGUGAUUCCAAUUGCUUAAGAAUGAAACAAUCCCCCAGGCUCAGUGGCUCACGCCUGUAAAACCAGUACUUUGGGAGGCUGAGGGGGGCAGAUCACUUGAGCCAAGGAGUUUAAGACCGGCCUGGUCAACAUGGUGAAAUGCCGUCUCUACUAAAAAUACAAAAAGUAGCUGAGCGUGGUGGCGCAUGCCUGUGGUCCCAGCUACUUGGGAGGUGGAGGCAUGAGAAUUGCUUGAACCUUAGAGGCAGAGGUUGUAGUGAGCCAAGAUCACACCACCACACUCCAGCCUGGGUGACAGAGCAAGGCUCUGUCUCAAAAAUUUGUAAGCUGAACCAAUUGAAAUGUUUAUGGUGUUGGCUAUUGUUUGUGCUGUUAAUCAUCAGUCCUCUUCAAUCAGGGCAUGACCAAGAUUAACUUUUUCCUCCCAAAUUGAUGUGGAUGGUCUAGCUGUGGGCUUCAUCUUCAACAUCAUCUUGUCCCUUCUUAAAAUAAGUUAUCUAUUUGUAAACUGCUGAUUCAUUUGGAGCAUCAUCCCCAUAAACUUCUUGUAAAGCAUCAGUGAUUUCACUAUCCUUCCAUCCAAGCUUCAUCAUAAAUUUGGUGUUUGUUCUUGCUUCAACUUAAGCAGAAUUCACAUUGCUCUGAUAGGGGCUCUUUACAAACUGAUGUUUUAUUCUUCUCAGUGCCUCAAAUUGGAUUCUGUCCAGACAUGUUAUAACAAGUUAAUAUAAGCUUAUUUUGUUGAAAAAAAAUUGACAUCUAUAGUUUUGGAAUUUUUGUUUUGUUUUGUUUGUUGAGACAAGUUCUCCCUCUGUCGCCUAGGUUGGAGUGCAGUGGUGUGAUCACAGCUCACUGCAACCUCUGCCUUCCGAGCUCAAGCAAUCUUCCCGCCUCAGCCUCCUGAGUAGCUGGGACUACCGGCACGUGCCACCAUGCCUGGCUAAUUUUUGUAUUAGCCAUGGGCAACAUGUCUCACCCUGUUGCCCAGGCUGGUCUUGACUCCUGGGCUCAAGCCAUCCACCUGCCUCGGCCUCCCAAAGUGUUGGGACUAUAGGUGUGAGCCACUGCACUCAGCCAGUUUUUUUUGUUUGUUUAUAAUACACAUUUUUCAUGAACUUUUUGAAGACCCCCUCAUAUCUCUCUCUUAAUUCUUGGAAGGUAAGAUAACAACCUAGUUUAGGUUUGGUGAGGUGAAACUUUAUCACAGGUGACUCCAUUUUGACUUUCAGUCUGAUCUGUGGGGGCCUAGUGCAGGAACUUAGUCCAAAACAACAGCCUCCUAUAAUUUGUAUUUAACCUGAAGUACUGUUCUGGAUUCAAUAGAUUCAUUGGUGAAUAAAUGAGACACAGCUUAUGACUUCAUAGAACUUAGGGAAAAGUAGAGAGAUAAAUAUUAAGCAGCUUGACAAACUGAGGUAUGCUCUCUGAUGGUGUUAGGAGAGUAUAAUACAGAGACCCAAUUGAGAUUGGGAGUGGACGGCAGGUAAGACCUCUCUAAAGUAGUAAUAUUUCAGCUAAGACCUGAGAGAUGAGUAGGAGUUAGCCCAGAUCGGAAUGAGAGGAGGGACAUUAUAAGCUGAGAGAAUAGUGUAUGUUAAGGUCCUGAACUAGAAAAAAACUUGGCAUAUUCAUGUUUGAGGAAUAAAGAGACCACUGUGGAUGGUUACUAAUGUUCAAGAAUGAAAGAGACACAAGGUGUGUUUGGUGAGGUAAGCAAAGGCUUGAUAAAUUAUGGUAAGGAAAUUAGAUUUUUUAAAAUCCUAAAUACAGUGGCUAUUACUGGGAAGUUGGUAAGAGGAGAAGAGAAGAUGAGAUUAGUGAUAAAAUUACAUUGAUUUGAGAUUAGCUCUUAUAAAAAGAUCACUGGUUGCUUAGUAGAAAAUGAUACUUUAUCUCAAUAUCAAUCAGAUACUGUGUUAAAAUAUUCUGACAGUUUAGACAGGUAGAGGCUGUGUGGGGGAAACAAAAUAGACAAAUUUGAGAUAUUUGGGAGGUAAGACUGACAAAACUUGAUAGUAAAUUAAAUUUGGGGCAUGAGAGAGAAGAUUAAAAUAUAGUUUACUUGUCUCCAUAUUUGAGUCAUUUCCUUAUGCUACUAAAUAAUAUCAGCAGUCAUUGCUUCAACAAAUCUCCUUAACAUAUUUUGCUUGAGUUCUAUGCUCACUGUGUAUGAUUUUCAGCUCUCUGUUCAUAAUAAAUCAUAUUUCAUUUAAUGCUUCUUCACUUGUCUGUGAAUGUUACUUGCUUUCUUUAAAAAUUAAAUGUCAAAAGAUAACUGAAC